This 1337-nucleotide ribosomal RNA is filed under the name uncultured bacterium. Its description in RNAcentral is "bacterial SSU rRNA". It matches the Rfam family "Bacterial small subunit ribosomal RNA", at positions 28 to 1381 of the family's 1533-position model. The record is from RNAcentral.
GACGAACGCUGGCGGCGUGCUUAACACAUGCAAGUCGAACGGAAAGGCCCUUCGGGGUACUCGAGUGGCGAACGGGUGAGUAACACGUGGGUGAUCUGCCCUGCACUUUGGGAUAAGCCUGGGAAACUGGGUCUAAUACCGAAUAGGACCACGCGCUUCAUGGUGUGUGGUGGAAAGCUUUUGCGGUGUGGGAUGGGCCCGCGGCCUAUCAGCUUGUUGGUGGGGUAAUGGCCUACUAAGGCGACGACGGGUAGCCGGCCUGAGAGGGUGACCGGCCACACUGGGACUGAGAUACGGCCCAGACUCCUACGGGAGGCAGCAGUGGGGAAUAUUGCACAAUGGGCGCAAGCCUGAUGCAGCGACGCCGCGUGAGGGAUGACGGCCUUCGGGUUGUAAACCUCUUUCAAUAGGGACGAAGCGCAAGUGACGGUACCUAUAGAAGAAGCACCGGCCAACUACGUGCCAGCAGCCGCGGUAAUACGUAGGGUGCGAGCGUUGUCCGGAAUUACUGGGCGUAAAGAGCUCGUAGGUGGUUUGUCGCGUUGUUCGUGAAAACUCACAGCUUAACUGUGGGCGUGCGGGCGAUACGGGCAGACUAGAGUACUGCAGGGGAGACUGGAAUUCCUGGUGUAGCGGUGGAAUGCGCAGAUAUCAGGAGGAACACCGGUGGCGAAGGCGGGUCUCUGGGCAGUAACUGACGCUGAAGGGCGAAAGCGUGGGGAGCGAACAGGAUUAGAUACCCUGGUAGUCCACGCCGUAAACGGUGGGUACUAGGUGUGGGUUCCUUCCUUGGGAUCCGUGCCGUAGCUAACGCAUUAAGUACCCCGCCUGGGGAGUACGGCCGCAAGGCUAAAACUCAAAGGAAUUGACGGGGGCCCGCACAAGCGGCGGAGCAUGUGGAUUAAUUCGAUGCAACGCGAAGAACCUUACCUGGGUUUGACAUGCACAGGACGCCGGCAGAGAUGUCGGUUCCCUUGUGGCCUGUGUGCAGGUGGUGCAUGGCUGUCGUCAGCUCGUGCCGUGAGAUGUUGGGUUAGGUCCCGCAACGAGCGCAACCCUUGUCCUAUGUUGCCAGCGGGUUAUGCCGGGGACUCGUAGGAGACUGCCGGGGUCAACUCGGAGGAAGGUGGGGAUGACGUCAAGUCAUCAUGCCCCUUAUGUCCAGGGCUUCACACAUGCUACAAUGGCCGGUACAAAGGGCUGCGAUGCCGUGAGGUGGAGCGAAUCCUUUCAAAGCCGGUCUCAGUUCGGAUCGGGGUCUGCAACUCGACCCCGUGAAGUCGGAGUCGCUAGUAAUCGCAGAUCAGCAACGCUGCGGUGAAUACGUUCCCGGGCCU